CCUGUGGAUUCAUAGUUAUCCUAUAAUAACAGAAUACUUUCUUGCAUUCUAUUGCGCUCCCUUGAGAAAGAGAAAAAGCAAUUAAGACACAGCUGCCAUGCAGGGAAUUGCAGAAGCCCAGCCUACUUUGUCUGUGUCACAUACUGAACUGGAAUAAUGGCUCAGAAUGCCAGUGUCAGGAGAGUGGGGACUUUGUUUUGUUCACUGCUGUGGCCCCAGCGAGCAGACUAAUAUCUGGCAUAUAACAGACGCUCGAUACACAUUUGUGGAAAGAAGGGAGAAUUGGACAGUCUCCUUUCUCCUGGAGACACACAGGUAUUUCUUUCUCAACCUCUCUGCCUGAGAAGCAUGAUAUGAGGGUAGGAGAAUAGAUUUUAGAGCUAACAAAGCUGCUUGGUUUCAGAUCUGUCCUUUAUUGGGUGUGCCACCUCAUCUGACUUGACUGAUUUUGCACUCUUCAUGUUCUUCUGUAAAAUAAACUACCAAUAUUUACUUCAUUGUGUUGUAAGAAUUAAGUAAUAUGAAAUGCGUGGAAAUUCAGGGUAAGAAACAUUAAAUAAACGAUUUAUCAUUAUUAUUCUUUUUACCACAUGAGGUUAGUUAUGACCAAACUGUAUUUGUAGCUUCUGCAUCAGGAGAAAGUGAUGGAUGUUUCCCAAUACUGAGAGAGUCUUUGGGAUGGAAGAAUGAACUGUUCAGGUUAGUCCUAUGGGAAAGUGCAGAUUUGAGAAAUAGAAAUUUAUGCCAAGACCAGGGCCUUUCUCCACCUAAAUUUUAUUAGACAUGGGUUAAGUUGGCUCUGAUUAAAGGGAACAAUCAUUUUGAUCAGUUUGGCUCAAAUAACUCUUCAUUUCAGGUGAAAAAAAAGCCAAAUGGUUUCUAAGAGAAGAAGCACAGUAGACUAGAUAGAGCCCGAAGAAUUAGGAACUCUAGCCUCAACUCCCUAAAUGCCUUGUGGAAUUAAUUUUCUCAUCUGUAAAAUGGGUAUGAAAAUCCCUGCCUUCUCUCUUACUUAGGGCUGCUGGGAGGGCUGUGUCAGAGAAUGGACUGAAAUGUCCUAUAUUAACCUUUGGAACCCUGUACCUUUCUUAGAGGCUACCAUUUUUUUUUUUUGGGGAAUUUAGUCUGGUCAAUUAGUGACUGAGAAUGGCCAAUCCUGGUAAAGACUAAGGCAUGAUGGCAGGCGAGAAUGUGAGAGCGUGGUAAACACAUGACACACCGAUUUUUUGCAGUAUCGCCUUUUAGACCAUGAAUGGUGCUUCCUGCUGCAGAUCUGAGAAAGCAUGGGAACAAACACCCCCAAUCCAAGAGAAAGAGGGAUGCCUUACUCUCUUGCAGGAAAAAUGCCUGAAGCUUCCGGGCUGGAAGCAGGAGAGUUAAACACUGUUGCUCAUGGAGAAAUCAAUACCAGCCUCAGUUCUGUUCUGAAGAAUGAGACAGCUCUGUUCCAGUUGGGGUGGGAUGUGUGAAGGAUGUGAUAGCCUGUUCGGGGCCUAGCUUGGCCAGCAAUUGGUAAGGAAGCAACUUGAUAACCCCAGAUGACUGUGACAGUGAAACCCACCGGGGACUUGAAAAUGAGAAUGUCAGUACAUUGCUUUUAUUUAUCUUUUUCUUAAAGACAGAAGGGGAAAAGUUUUAAGGCAAAUAUUGUCUUGAAAUGAUGGAAUGUUUUCAAAAUCUUUGCUGUUAAACUAGCCCAAGAUCUGGGCCUGGCGUACAUCGGAUAGCUUCAAGCAGGUUUUGACUAUGGGAUCAUAUGUUGAUCAGAGAAGCCCAGUAGAUGAUACAGAUAAAAGUGGAC
Molecule: long non-coding RNA, 1801 nt
Filed under: Equus caballus (horse)
Lineage: Eukaryota; Metazoa; Chordata; Mammalia; Perissodactyla; Equidae
Description: lncRNA (ENSECAG00000049660.1)
Source: RNAcentral